RNAcentral lists this long non-coding RNA (33487 nucleotides) under Manihot esculenta (cassava). RNAcentral's name for it is "long non-coding RNA (MESC_LNC008224)". Lineage: Eukaryota; Viridiplantae; Streptophyta; Magnoliopsida; Malpighiales; Euphorbiaceae. The record is from RNAcentral.
AUCCCUACAGUGCUUGUUGUGUUGAAUCAAUAUCCUGGUAUGAUGGCAUCGAGGAUAUGGGCAUGGAGAUGAAUUGCAUCUGUCCAUAUGUCUCAGUAACUUUUGCACAGUUAUGCAAUUAACAUCUGAACAUUUCCCUUCAGGAGCUGUACAUCUGCGAGCAUGCCGCAAGAACAAGAGCCACUUCUGUUGAUUUCUGAACUGGCGAUCUCGGUUCGCAAUUCCGGAUUUACAAAUGACACCAUUUGAAUUUUGAGUCUCUGAAGAAUUUCUAGGAGGAGCAUUUUGAACAAUAUUAGAACCUUCUGAAGCAAAAUUAUUCCGUUGAGCUUCAUCCUGACCAGAUAUUCUCUGGUGGAAGUCCUCUUGGACAUGCUGCUCAUGUGGCAUGCUAGGGAUGCAACCUCUGUCCGGCAAAUGAGGACGCCAUUGUCCCUGCAAUAUUUUAGCCGAUGGUGCUCCAAUAGAAUGGCAAGUAAAAUCACUUUGAGACUCUGAAACCAACUGAUGCGGAUGCGACACCUGUUGCAUUUCCUGUGAAUUUUGUGCCAAUGAUGAACACAUGCCAUGCUGUCCAGAUGGCUGAGAGAGACUUUGUGCAGCCUGAGAAUGAUCCUCAACAACAUUCUGCUGGAAUUGAUUUUGCAACUCAGACAUUUGGAGAUGUUGAGAGGUUUGCGAGUGCAGAGCUUCAUUAUGAUGCUCCACUCCAGGCUCACGCUUCACCUGAUUACUGGGAUCGGAUGGCUGAGACUGAUCAAAGGCAUCAUGAAAAAGUUGUUGAUGCUGCUGGUUUUGCUGAUUUUUAAUGUAUUGUUGCUGAACAAAUUGCUGCUGCUGUGGAAAUUGAUGAAGAUGUUGCUGAAAUUGCUGUUGUUGGUGAGUAUGUAGGAUGCUGUCCCUAGAAGGUAGAGACUGAAAGUUCAUCUUUUCAGAUUGAUCAGCUGACUGAGGUUUUACCUGUGCAGCUUGUUGAAUUCCAUGUAAAUUUAACUGAUUAUUUACCAGAGAUGAAUUAGUUUUCGGCAUGGACUGCAAGCUCAUAGAAGUAAUAUUCUGAGCAUUCAUCAUUGAUCCAACAGAUGUUACUGCAUUAUAAAAGUUUCCAGAUCCAAAGGAAUCAGCAUUACUUAUUCCAUAUCCCUCACCUGAAAAAAGUACAUUUACAAUGAAAUGCUAUGUCCCCAAAUAAAGCAAUAUUAUAUACGUUUAAGUUUGACAUAGUUGAUAUCAUAAACAAUGGGAGAGACGUGUUACCAUGCACUAUUUGUUGCUGUUGUUGAUCAAAAUGCUGUUGCAAUGGUUUGGGUGAACUAGCAUACGGUGUGCCAGUCAUAUAACCCUCAGAGACGCAAGGUUCACUCACAAACUGUAAAUUGUUUGCAAUCAUCCCAAUCCCACUAUUUAGAGCUCCAUUCGAGAACCCAUAUGAUUUUUGCUGUAAUCCAGAUCUAAUACUGCUGCCCAUUUGGCUGCCAAGAUUCUGCAUUAUGUGACUGUUUUGACCUCCAGCAUACUGCUUUUGCUGCUGUGGCUGUGAUGCCAUUGUAGAUUCAACAGUUGAAUAACCACCAAGACUACUAGAUGACUCCAUAUUCAUGUAAGAUUGAUUAUUACUCUUGUUAUUGUUAUUGAUAUUAUUAUAUCCAGGAGUUGGAAUCAUCUGGCUUGUCAUUCUUUGCCCACCCAUGGAUGGCAAAUUCCCACCAGAGCUAAUAGAGAAAUUGGCCAGUGUUUGCUGAUAUCCAUUAGACAUAGUCCCUGCAACCAUAGCUUUUGUGACGUUUGAAUAGAGUAAACAAGGGUGCAUUGAUAAUUAAAAUUAUAAAGUUCAGAUAUACCAUCAGAUCUACUGAAGGAACUAUGUAAAGAGCUAGAUGGCAACAGGCUUCCCAUGUUCAUAGUUGUCACUGAUAUACUAUCACAUCCACUGGAAGCAGUCAUCAUGGUAUCUGCAGAAGAUACCAUCAAGUUGGAAUUCCCACUAUGUGACAUGCCAGGAGUGGGUAUCAUGGUACCAAUGGAAGAAGAAGGAUUAACAAGUUGUCCAGGCCGUUGGUUGUGGUUAUUCACAGGUGCGCGUUUGAUCAGACUACUCAGACGACUCUCUAAGGUAUUUAGGUUCAUGUAGUCCUCCUACAAAAAAGUUUUACAGCUGCGUAAAGCACAACACAGAAAAAAAAAACAUUGAGGAACAAUCAAGGACUUAAGAAAAAAAUCCAUCCGCACUGAGCUGACUAAGAAAAAAGACUAUGAAAUUCAAUUCAAUAAACUUGUCAAAAAUAAAUAAUUCAUAGUUUAAUUUAAUUCAUAACUAAUGAGAUAAUCAAGAUAAAUAUAGACUUCAGUGGGGGUUAAAAGAGGAAAGCAACAAACCUUUGACUGAGCAGCUUUAAACAGACCCUCUUCAAGGCGUUUGGCAAUAUCUUUAAAUUUCUGUUUCUGUGGUUCACUAACUGGCUGAGGCUGCCUCUGCAAUAUAAUUGCAAAUCUAGAAAUGAUGGAAAAUAGGAUCAGUAAUAAUACAUAUUUUUUGCAGGUUAGAUUCCCCCGUCGUCACUAUAACAUCAAUGGGAGCCAUGAACAGGUAAAAAAUGGAAGAGAACUUCAGCAGCAAUGUCUAGGUUUAACUAAAAUUACAUAACAAAGCAAGAAAGUCAACUUUAAGAUCUUAAUAUGAAAGGUAUUCAACAGUUGCUUUAACAUUUUUAUGUUUGCCCAUUCGAGAGCACCAUCACGUAAGCAUAUAUAACAGAGUUGACGACAUUUAAUAGCUAAAAUAUCAGUCCAAAACUCCAAAUAAAAUCAUCUUCUCUUCAACGCAACCAUCUAGUGUCUGUGAUUAGUCUCUUAGAUUUUUUUUUGAAAAAAUAAAAUAAAGAAAAUAAAGAAAAAUAAAAUAAAGGAGGAGAGAAAGAGAGUGUGCAACUAAACUUCUGUAAAACCAUAAACUAAUCUAAUGUCAUGAUAAGAUCUGGUAUGUGUAGCACUAAAACUGCAACAAAGCUUUCAUUAAGUUUUAUGGUAAAUUAAAUAGAAAUAAUUGGGAACUGAUAGUAGAUGGAUAAAUGGAUAUCUUACAUUUUCUCACGCAUAAAAAUGCGAGCUCUAUGAAGCUCAGGGUCCAUGGUGAACAUAUUAGGAGAAGUCAAACCUCCACCACUAGCAGCAGCUAAAUUCUGCAACUGAGCUGCAGGUAGCGGAUUCCCAUUCUGCUGGGCCAACUGAUUAGGAACCUGUCCAGAGAUCUGCCCAGAUAAAUGCGCCUGCACAUUCAUCUUUAUUACCCACUCAUGAUGCUGUAACUUUAACAGUAUGGGCCAAAUGUCCACCUUCAAUUCAAAACAAGUAAAACUUAUACGUGAAACUGCCUGUAAUAAGCAACAGGAAGAGUUUAAAAAUAUUGUCAAUUGCAGUUAACAUUUUGUUCUUUAGAGAAACGAAGUCUCUACAUUAGAUUUAUAAGGCAAAGAAGAAUAAUAAAUUGAAAAACGAAAGAAUGAAAGCUUGAUUAGUUAUAAUAAUAAUAAGAGGAGAAGCUGCAUAACGUAGUAUCCUUUGAUUAAACAGAGAGUAACAACGAAUUGAAUGUAGCAAUUAUGUUGCGAAUUUACCAUAACUAGAAAAACUGACUUUGCCACUUAAAAUGCGUAAUUGAGGAAGCAAUUGAAGCAUGGGCAAGGCAAGUAGAGAGAAGAACGCCAGAGAGCAAAAGACUUGUAAUAUGGAAAUUGGUCAAAAGAAGAAAAGGAGAAUGAAAUCAAAAAUACAAUAACGUAAUAUUGACUAUGAAAACAAUUGGUCUGGUGUAUCGUCUGUUGAAGCUAGAAUAAGAUGCAGUUAAAUGCUUGGAGAAAUCGUUUUGAAUGAUUAGACUAAUUUAGUAACCCUAGGCUAGUUUAGCUUAUUGAUGUGAAUCAAAUCAAGAAACCCUAACGAACCUGAAGGCGCAAUAUAUGAGAAUAACAACAAUCGGAAGCUUCAACUUGAGAGAAAAAUCCGUAGGUUUUUCAAGUCGAUGAUGAUCGCUGACGUCCGCCAAUAGCCCGUGCGAAUUUAGACGCUGGCUGUUUACGGUUUAACCCAAAACAGAAGAUGAUGAUUAAAGAUGAAGACUACGAUAAAAAAAAUGACUGAAAAACCGAAUGAAUGAAAGCAGCAGAUGUUUGCAAUCUAAUCGAAAACGAUAACGGUGGCAGUGUCGACGGGAGUGUUGAAUUACUUUUUGGGGGUUCUUCGUUUCCGGGUUCAAUUGGGGAUUAACUUCGUCAAAUUGUCAAAGGAAAAAAUAAAUAAAUAUAAUUACCAAUAUUCUGCAUUUCUUUUUUCUUUUUUUAUCCUUUAAAAGAUAAAUAUACAAUUAGAGUAUUUUUUUUUCAAUGGAACGAAAACAACAAGAGGGAGAAUUUGGGGAUGUUAACGGAAAAAUACCAACUAAGUCCAGUUAAACUGUCUGUUAAAUAAAUUUAAUUUAAAUUUUUGGAUCAAUUAGUUCUUUAUAUUUUUAUUAAUAGUCUAAUAAGACUUAAUAUAAUAAAAUAUUUUUUAAUAAUUAUUAAAUAUCAUUUUUAUAAUUUUAAAUAUAAAAAUUUUAAUAUUUUAAUUAACAUAAAAAUUUUAAAAAUAUAUAAAUAUAAUAAAGAAUUUUUAAAUUACAAAAUUAAAAUUUUAUUAUAUAAAAUAUUUUUAUUAUUAAAAAAUAAUAUUAUAUUAGAUACCAAUUUAUUUGAUACUUAAAUAAAAAUAUAAAAACUUAAUUUAAGUUAUAUCUCAAACCAACCGUACUAUCUAUUGUUUUAUAAUUAUGUAUAAAUAUAUAUGUAUUUUGAAUGAUUUAUAAAUAUAAUUAUGUACCAAUUUAAAUUUUUUUAUUUUUUUUAUUGUUUAAAUUUUAAUAUUUUAAUAUUUAUUUAUUUAUUUAUAACAUCAAAUGAUUUAUAAAUAUUUAUAAAAUGUUCAUUGUAAUUGAAUAAUAAAUAUUAUUUGAUGUUAUAAAUAAAUAAAUAAAUAUUAAAAUAUUAAAAUUUAAACAAUAAAAAAAUAAAAAAUUUAAAUAUUAAAAUCUAUAUAAUAAAAAAAUUUUAAUUAACUAAAUUGUAUUAUUUUAUAUAUGAGAUAUUAAAGAUUGCUGAAAUAAUAUCUUCUAUCCCAUAUAAAAAACUUAUAGAAACAGAAAAAUAAAUAUGUAAAAUCGUUAUGUAGAUAUCGAUAUUUCUCAUCCCUUUCUGAAAUUGUUGAUGCUGGAGGGAUUUAACUCGCUUAUUUUUUAAGCUUUUUCUAUUAUACAUGAGCUUAAUUUUGAAUUAUUUGCAAUAAUUUCUUGAGUAGCAAUAUUUUAAGUUUUUUAAAACAUUUUAAUACAAUAAAAUGUACAUGGUAAAAAAAAUGACAGUAUAUAAUAUUAAAAUAUUAUUUAUAGAUUAAAUUGCUUAGAAUAAUAAUAAAUAAUGAACUGAAGAAUUCAUAAUUUUUAACUUCUUAACAUUUUAUUUUUUUUUAUAAAUUUACUAAAAAGUUUUUUUUAUGAAAUCAAUUGUUUUUUAUUCAUAAUAUGUAUGAUUACAAAUACAACUUUUUUGUUUUCUAACUAUUCUUAUCAGUGCAAAGCAUAUUACAUUUAAAAUAUUUUUUUAAAAUAUAUAUUUUUUAUCAAUGAAAAUAGUAAAAUUAUAAAAUACCUUUUUAUAUUUUUUCUUAAAAUCAAACUAUAAUAUAAACUCUAACACAACUUAAUAUAAAGACCAACCCAUAAAAUUCAGCCUAAUUCGAAGAAGAUCCAAUCCAACCCGAAAGCGCCCAAAAGUUAACAGAACGUGCAAGGCAUUUACUGUCCACAUCCACCGCCAUCGUCUAAAUUCACCACCGCCCAUUGUACUGAUCCCAAAUAUCGAUCGACGAUAACAAAGCGAAUUGCCUCCAGCCUCUCACUGCAUUGCCCACCAUGAAGCAUCCAAAUCGAAAAACAGCAGAGAGCGAAAUAAGCGAACAACAAAACUAAAAAGACAGCGAUGUAAAAUACAUGACCGAAUAUACAAAGCUCGACACUCUCUGUCUUUAGCUUUAAACGUUUCUCGCCUUUUCACCUCCGCCUUCUAUUAGCCACUGGAUUUUGCUUAGUUCUGUGUCUUCCUCCCCAUGCCGAAAGAAAGCUUGUUUCUACAAAUACAACCUUAAGUAAAAUGUAUGUUAGAAACAAUGGGAUUAACAAGUGGACCAUUCAUUUUUUAAUUAUGUAUAAUUAUAUUUAAUUUUUAAAAUGAAUAAUAAUUUUAUCAUUUAAAUUAAUUUUAAAGCCAGCUAAAAAAGUCUCUUAAAAUUUAAGCUAUACAAAAAUGAAAUAAGAAUAAAUUUUUAGCAUAACGAUUGAUAUAUAAAUAUGUUACUAUUAAAAACCUUUAAAUUGAUUAGUUAGAUUAUUUCAUUUUUGAAUUCAAAAUUUCUUCUAUAUUUCUUUUUAUGAAAAUUUAAUAAACAAAAAGUUUACCUAUAAUAUAAUGCAUGCAUUGUAAUUAUCUAUCUAUAUAAAAUUUAUGAACUUGGUAUACAUAAUAGAGAAGUUAAGAAGAAUAAUGAAAUCUAAAAAAACAUUCAUGAUAAUUUAAAAUUAUUAUAAUGAAAAGCUAAAUUGAAUUAAUUAUCGAGAAUUUAUUUAUUUUAAUUUUAUUUUAAAUUAUAUUUAGGGCAUUAUAAAAUUUUAAAAUUCUUAGCCUCUUUAUUCUUAAACUCUACUUUUAUUAUAACCAUAAAUAAUAUUCUACAAGAGUAAUUAAAAUUGUAACACCCCGGAAACCGGUACCUCUUGGCUGGUGUGAUCCUAGCUUCAAAACAUGGAGAAACCAAGCUCCUCAAGCUUCAAGCUCCACAACUUCCUCUUUUUACUCAAAACCUUCAAACCCAAGUGAAAACUCAUGAAAACCUUGCAAUAUUGGAGGAAAACAUCAUGAAAACAUCCAAGGAGAACCUAAACCCCACCUUGACCACAAAGAGAGCUUCCAGCACCCUCCAUGGCCAGUCAACGGGGCUUAAAUAGGUGGCCAACCGCCCUUCCUUCGGCUGCCGAAACUGCAUGCAAAACCAUGCAACGUUCGGCGGCCUAACGUGAAGUUUCGGAAGCCGAACCUAUAGCACUUUCGGCGGCCGAAUAUUACCUUCGGCGGCCGAACCUGCAUUCUGCCUCCUUGGUCUUUUCUCUUCAAAACUCAUUCCCUUUCCUUUCAAAACCACAAAACACUUAAAACCAUUUUAGAAAACCUUGCUAAAACCUUGUAAAACCAUCAGUGUCUCGUGCAAUGCCCCGCAAAACGAAUCCGACAUCCGAGAUUCCACCUGACGGGAGGAAUUCCGAUGCCUGACCGAGCCGGGUAUUACAAUCUACCCCCCUUAUAACAACAUUCGUCCCCGAAUGUUCAAAACAAAACAAACAUAGAACAGGCAAGUAAAGCCUAACACUUCUCUUCACAAAGAGAAUUUCCGAAACUUUACUUUCCUGAUCUGAGUCCAUACUCCAGAAUGAGUAUCCUACUCUUUUUCUGAACUCCACAGCUUUCCCUGCGCUACGCUGAUUCUUACUCUUCACUUUUCAUCUUAACUAAACUAAUCUCUUUGUGAAACUCUCACUCUUUACUUCGCAAUAGAGACCAAUCUGUACUCCUAAUUCCAAUUUGUACUCCUAAUUCUUACCCGCCUUNNNNNNNNNNNNNNNNNNNNNNNNNNNNNNNNNNNNNNNNNNNNNNNNNNNNNNNNNNNNNNNNNNNNNNNNNNNNNNNNNNNNNNNNNNNNNNNNNNNNNNNNNNNNNNNNNNNNNNNNNNNNNNNNNNNNNNNNNNNNNNNNNNNNNNNNNNNNNNNNNNNNNNNNNNNNNNNNNNNNNNNNNNNNNNNNNNNNNNNNNNNNNNNNNNNNNNNNNNNNNNNNNNNNNNNNNNNNNNNNNNNNNNNNNNNNNNNNNNNNNNNNNNNNNNNNNNNNNNNNNNNNNNNNNNNNNNNNNNNNNNNNNNNNNNNNNNNNNNNNNNNNNNNNNNNNNNNNNNNNNNNNNNNNNNNNNNNNNNNNNNNNNNNNNNNNNNNNNNNNNNNNNNNNNNNNNNNNNNNNNNNNNNNNNNNNNNNNNNNNNNNNNNNNNNNNNNNNNNNNNNNNNNNNNNNNNNNNNNNNNNNNNNNNNNNNNNNNNNNNNNNNNNNNNNNNNNNNNNNNNNNNNNNNNNNNNNNNNNNNNNNNNNNNNNNNNNNNNNNNNNNNNNNNNNNNNNNNNNNNNNNNNNNNNNNNNNNNNNNNNNNNNNNNNNNNNNNNNNNNNNNNNNNNNNNNNNNNNNNNNNNNNNNNNNNNNNNNNNNNNNNNNNNNNNNNNNNNNNNNNNNNNNNNNNNNNNNNNNNNNNNNNNNNNNNNNNNNNNNNNNNNNNNNNNNNNNNNNNNNNNNNNNNNNNNNNNNNNNNNNNNNNNNNNNNNNNNNNNNNNNNNNNNNNNNNNNNNNNNNNNNNNNNNNNNNNNNNNNNNNNNNNNNNNNNNNNNNNNNNNNNNNNNNNNNNNNNNNNNNNNNNNNNNNNNNNNNNNNNNNNNNNNNNNNNNNNNNNNNNNNNNNNNNNNNNNNNNNNNNNNNNNNNNNNNNNNNNNNNNNNNNNNNNNNNNNNNNNNNNNNNNNNNNNNNNNNNNNNNNNNNNNNNNNNNNNNNNNNNNNNNNNNNNNNNNNNNNNNNNNNNNNNNNNNNNNNNNNNNNNNNNNNNNNNNNNNNNNNNNNNNNNNNNNNNNNNNNNNNNNNNNNNNNNNNNNNNNNNNNNNNNNNNNNNNNNNNNNNNNNNNNNNNNNNNNNNNNNNNNNNNNNNNNNNNNNNNNNNNNNNNNNNNNNNNNNNNNNNNNNNNNNNNNNNNNNNNNNNNNNNNNNNNNNNNNNNNNNNNNNNNNNNNNNNNNNNNNNNNNNNNNNNNNNNNNNNNNNNNNNNNNNNNNNNNNNNNNNNNNNNNNNNNNNNNNNNNNNNNNNNNNNNNNNNNNNNNNNNNNNNNNNNNNNNNNNNNNNNNNNNNNNNNNNNNNNNNNNNNNNNNNNNNNNNNNNNNNNNNNNNNNNNNNNNNNNNNNNNNNNNNNNNNNNNNNNNNNNNNNNNNNNNNNNNNNNNNNNNNNNNNNNNNNNNNNNNNNNNNNNNNNNNNNNNNNNNNNNNNNNNNNNNNNNNNNNNNNNNNNNNNNNNNNNNNNNNNNNNNNNNNNNNNNNNNNNNNNNNNNNNNNNNNNNNNNNNNNNNNNNNNNNNNNNNNNNNNNNNNNNNNNNNNNNNNNNNNNNNNNNNNNNNNNNNNNNNNNNNNNNNNNNNNNNNNNNNNNNNNNNNNNNNNNNNNGUUCCCUCCUCCUCCACCUCCUCUUACAACUAAAGAAUCAACUCCUACUUAGCUCGAGUCGGGGCGCCUCUGUAGCGAUCCCUGUCACUGUCAAGACAACACCUGAGAAUGCUGGGGUCAAAUCCCCAUGGUCUCGGAGCAUCCAACACCUGGCACUAAUCCAGAUGGCCUCUCUUCUUAAGAACCCUACUUGUCAGUCCUCAUAGCCAAGAAUGCUUUGAGGUUUAGGGAUCGUAAUCGCUUGAACGAGGUUGAGAUGGAUGACCUCUUCGACAACAUGAUGCACUUUGCCAUGGAGAGUGUCAUUUGCGCAUACAUGGCCAAGGAGAGAAACAAGGCUCUGAGGUGAGAGUUCAGAGCACAGGAGAUGGACAAAGGUCUUUUGUAAUGAGAGUACUUGAGGCUGAAGGCCCGGGUCGAUGAAGUGAAAGGCACUAUGAAAGAGACAUCGAAGUCUGUGGACAAGCUCUAGGCAAACCUAGACGAGGCUAUCGCUUCAAAGCUUGCCCUUGAGAGUCAGGGUAGAAAUGUGGAGGAUCAAGUGGAUAUUCUCCAGCAGAAAUUUCAGGAGUUGCAGUCUCAGGCUGAGGAGAACCAGGCCGCCUCCAUCAAGAUCGCUGAACUAGAAGCAGAACUUCAAAAGACGGUGAUCCGAGGAGGAGAGAUGUUCAUCGAGGGUUAAGACUCAAUCAAGAAAGAGCUGGUGAAGCGGUUUUUUCUAAGGACUUUACUUGGAUAGAUGACAUCUUCCCAAAGUAGGAGGGAGAGGAGGAGCAAGAGGAGGAGAUGAUUUAAAAUAUAGACUGAGUCUUUGUAGAAAAUGUAAUAGACGUAGAAAAUGUAAAUGUAAUAGAGACUCGAGAGAUGAUUUAAAAUAUAGACUGAGUCUCCGCAGAAAAUGUAAUAGACGUAGAAAAUGUAAAUGUAAUAGAGACUCGAGAGAAGAAAACUGAAAAUAUCCCUCCUCUCAUGUAAUCUUUUGUGAUAUAAUAAAAAUAUUUUCUUUUGUAUCUUGUCAUUAUUUUUACUAAGUAUUUAUAUGCUUUGUACUCAGCUAUAACCCUCAUCCAACCAUUAUCAAAUAAGGCUUAAAAUAUUUUCUAAAAAAUUUUCACUUGGAGCUAACACCUAACUAAAUAACUGGCAGCCUUUUUCUUUUGGCAUAAAAUGACUUAAAACAGAUUUAUUAACGGAACUUAAUACUCAAUCAUCGGCCUAGCAGAUGUCCGCUUCAUGGCUAUGAAAUAAAUUACUUAGAAAAAUUAUUUAUAAAAAAUGGACACUAAGUGAUUAGUCUGGCCGAUACCCAUAUUGUGGUAUGGACAUAAAAUACCUUAGAAUUUUGUAUAAAAAUGGGACUAACACCUGGUCAUGAGUCUGGCGAAUACCCGUCUUGUAGUCUGGACAUAAAAUACCUUAGAAAUUUGUAUAAAAAUGAUAUUAAACACCCGGUUGUGAGCCUGAUAGAUACCCGCCUUGUGGCCUGGACAUAAAAUGCCUUAGAAAUUUUGAAAAAAAAAGGACUAACAACCAGUCGUGAGUCUGGCGGAUAUCUAUCUUGUGGCUUAGGCAUAAAAUACCUCAGAAAUUUGUAUAAAAAUGGGACUAACACUCGGUCAUAAGCAUGGAAGAUAUUCGUCUUGUGGCUUUGUUUGCAAAAACACGAUAAUGAAUGAAUUUUUACUUUUGGAGAAGGCAAUCUACCAUUCCUUGUAACUGAAUAACACAACAUAUAAACGAAUACCUCACUAAGUGUUAUUAAUAAAAUUUUCUUAUAUUACAAAUAUUCUAGGAAUAGGGAAUGACUCGGUCAUCUAACUUGGUCAAUUUAUAAGACCCCGGGUGAAUAAUAUUCAAGACCCUAAAUGGUCAUUUCUAGUUUUUGUCCAAUUUACCAGACCUAGCACUACCUCCUGUUAUAUUAGUUUUUUAAGGACUAAAUCCCCUACAAUAAAGGCAUGGGCUUGACUUUACUAUUGAACAUUCUAGACAUCUUGUUCCUAUAAAUCGCUAUUUUGAUUGCAGCUAGUUUCCAUAAAAAUUUGGCUUGAUCCAAGUUGAACUGCAUUUCUUCAGGGUUUCCUAUAAUUUUAUGGUGCUGUGUCCUAAAACUGCUUACCUGGACUUUCAUGAGAAUUACUGCCUCAACCCUGUAUACAAGAGAAAAAGGAGUUUCCUCUGUGGCUAUUCUCAAAGUCGUCUGUAUGCUUAUAGUAUGUGGGGCAAUUCGUUAGGCCAAUUGCCUUUGGCUUUGUCUAGUCUUUUCUUUAGAACUUGUAGGAUAGUCCUGUUUGUAAUCUCGGUCAUUCCAUUGGUCUAUGGGUGAUAGGCCGAACUGAAUCUUAAGUCAAUCUCCCAUUUCAUAUAGAAAUCUUUAAACUUAGAACUCGCAAACUGAGUCCCGUUGUCCAUGAUUAUUACCUUUGGGAUUCUACACCGAGUGAAUAUGUUUUUGCUGACAACGAAAAUCGUCUGUUGGGUAGUAAUGGACUAAAUUGCUUCAGGCUCAGCCUACUUGUUGAAAUGAUCUACCGCUACUAUUACAAAUUUUCUUAAUCCGGUUACUUUUGAAAAAGGGCCAAGAACAUUUAGCCCCAUCCAAUCAUUGUUUGCAUCUCUCCAAGGGUCCUUGGAAUGCUUGCAUGCACUUAAUAUCGGCAACACCUCUGGACAAGUUCUUUUGCAUCUUGCAUUCAUUGGCCAGUAGUAUCCAUGAUUGAAUGCUUUCUAGGUGAUCAUCCAAGCCCCUUCAUGACGUUCACAAUCACCUUCAUGGAUUUCUUUAAGGAUUUCCCGGCCCUCAUCUUCCGUUACGCACCGUAACCAUGGUUGAGUUGAGCAUCUCCUGUACAAAAAACCGUUUGUUAGUACAUAUUUAGAGAACUUUCUUAUUAUCUUUUUAGCUGAUAAUUUAUCAAUCGGUAGUUCAUCCUCUAUCAGAAACUUAUACAUGAGUAUCAUCUGGGAUUCUCCUUCCUAUAUGGGGAAAGACUCUUCCUCAUCUAUUGCAGGAGUGUGUAGCUCUUCGAAUUAAAAGGGCUGGGUCAAGUGUUAUUCACCUGUUGCCGCCAUUUUGGCUAGGAAAUUAGCUUCUUCGUUGUCAUCUCUAGCCACCUGGUGAAACUUGCAAUUACCCUAUUCCUCGUCAUUAAGGAGCGAACCUUCUCUUCGUACUUGACAAGGCUUAGUUCUCAGAUUUUAAACUGUUCAUGUCACUUCUUAUAUUGGCACUGAAAAUGGUCAUAUAGAAAGUGUCUAUGUUUACCUUACUGUACAACCUUUGGGUUUUCUCUCUUCUUAGCCCUUGUUUGCACUAUCCCACCAUUUUCUGAGAUUAACAACUAAUUGUGAGUCACUAAAAAUAAUAGAUUACUGUAUACCUAUUUUCGUAAUAAUUUUUAGUGCCAUAAUCACAGCCUCAUACUCAGGUACGUUGUUGUAGUGUUGAAAGCUAAUUUUGCCACAUAGCGCAGCUUUAUCCCAGUUUGACUCUACAAGAGUUUCCAAUUCUGGAACCCCCAGCUCCGCAUGCACCAUGCACCCAAACCUUCCAUUCUUCAAUAGGUGAUUCUAAAGUCUCCAAUGGCGGAGUUAUCUCUGCAACAAAGUCGGCUACUACCUUGGCUUUCAUUGCUUUUUGUGGGACAUAUCUAAUAUCAAACGCUGAUAAUAUUACUGCUCAGGUGGACAGCCGCCCUAAUAUCUCCGGCCUAUGUAGUACCUUUCGUAAGGGAUAAUUUAUUCUGACCUCUAUGGUAUGUGACUCAAAAUAGGGAUGUAACUUCGUGGCAGACAUUAGGCUACAAAUGCUAAUUUCUCAAUGGGGGGAUAGUUCAACUCUGCCCACUUCAAGACUUAGCUACCGUAAUAGAUUGGGUUUCGCUCCCCUUUGUCCUCUCGAACGAGCACCAAACUUAUAGUCUCCUGCAUCACAGAUAGAUACAAAAAUAAAAUCUCAUUUUCGACAAACGAGCUCAGUAAAGGGGGAGAUGAUAAAAAAAGUUUUUAAGUUUUCAAAUGCCUCUACACACUCUUCCUCUUAAACAAAUUUAUUUUUGCCAUUUAAGGCUUUAAAGAAUGGUAGAUAUUUCUUGGCCGAGCAUGAUAUAAACUGGCCAAGAGCUGUGACCCGCCCAUUCAACUUCUGUAUAUCAUUUAUAGUUUUAGGUGCCUCCAUAUUUUAGAUGACAUUAAUUUUUUUUUGGGUUUGCCUCUAUGCCUCUUUUUAAGACUAUGUACCCUAAAAACUUUCUAGCUUUUACCCAAUGGUGCAUUUUUUAGGGUUAAGUUUCAUAUUUGUCUUAUCCAGUACGUCAAAAACUUUUUGGAUAUCAUCUGGAUGAUCUUUUAAGGAUCAACUCUUUACUACCAUAUCAUCUACAUACACAUCGACUGUAGACCCCACCAUGUCUUUAAAGAUGCUCGACACUAGCCUUUGGUAAGUCGCCUCUGUGUUUUUUGGCCCAAAUGACAUCACCUUAUAACAGAAGACUCCUGCAUCGAUGAUAAACACAGUCUUUUUUGCAUCUUUAACAUCCAUCAUGAUUUGGUGGUAACCUGAAAUAGUAUCCAGAAAGAAAACCACUGCAUGACCCAAGGUAGAGUAUACUAACUUAUUAAUAGGCAUGCUUUGUUCAAGUCAGUAAAGUCCACGCACAUCCUCCACUUCCCAUUUUCCUUCUUAACCAGUAUUACAUUGGCGAGCCAUGUAGGAUACUGUACGUCUUUUAUUAAUCUUGUACUUAAUAAUUUAUUAACCUCCUCCUUAAUCACCUGCUGCCUCUCUAAUACAAAUUUUCUUUUCUUCUGUUGUACAUGUUUUAUUGUCUUGUCGAUAGAUAGCUUAUGGAUGAGAAGUGUCGAGUCCACACCUGUUACAUCUUCUAGAGACCAAGCAAAAGUGGUCACUUUAUGUUUUAGUAAUUCUAUUAAUUGAUUCUUUAUUUCACCAUUUAACGCAGUUUCAAAUCGUACCUUUUUAUGUAUAUCUAACUGGACCUCUUCCACCGGGUCUGCUGGUUCUGGUUUUAUGUAGGAGUCUAGUUUUUUCAACAGGUCGAUGGGCAUGGUUGCUUUUCUGAGACUUUUUGUGGAAGGCCUGUAGCAUUCUUGGGUUGACUUAUGGUUGCCUCGGACAACAGCUAAUCCUCCUGGAACUGGUAACUUAGGAUUCUUGGCACUCAUGUUAAUAACUAGACCGUGACAGUUUAAGACUGAGCGACUGAUUAUCAUACUGUAAGCAUGUGAGAUGCCUACUACUGCAAACUCCGCAUACAACUCCUACUUGUGCUUCUCAUCAUCCAGCACAAGAGGGAGGUUAAUGGUCCCAAUACUGCAAUGGUCUUAUCUCCUAAUCCCACUAAUGGGUAGGAGAUUUUAAUAAGGUUAUUUUUUUAUCUAAACUUAACUUAUUAAAGACAUCCCAGGUGAGGAUAUUGACGAAACUACCUGUAUCAACCAAGACUCGUCGCACCUCAUACCUAUUCAAUUAGAUGCUGAUGACCAGCGGGUCAUUUUGGGAGAAUCCUAUCGCCUUGUUUGCAGGUCUAAACUUUACCUCCUAUUUAGCCUAUGGUUCCUGCUCAACUGACAGAACAUCUUCUGCAAUGCGUUUGUUCUUUCCCUUGCCAUUGCUGGGUCCUCUUGCCAUCGCAGGGUCCUCCUUCAAUCACAUGUAUAACUCCUACAUAUUCACUAUCAAGGGUGGUUUCAGGAGUUGUUACCUCAGGUUUGGGCCUCUUCUCUUCUCUAUUCUUUCUAGUAAACUUUUAAAAUGUGUUGUUCUUUAUUAAUCUCUCGAUUUUCGUCUUUCAACUGCCGGCACUCCUGCAUUAUAUGUCUAUAAUUUUUAUGAAAAUGACAGUUCUUAUUCCUAUCUUGUCUUUCAACUUUCUCAGGGUUGAGCUUGGGAGGCCAUUUGACUUCUUUAUCAUUUUUCCUGAUCCACAUUGAAAUAUGUGUUCGUGUGGAGCAUAAUUCUUAUACUUACCUCGGUCGUCCCUUCCUCGGGAUACUGAGAAAUUUCUACGGUCUCCUUCAUAUCCUCACCUCUUGAUUUUUGAUUUUACUUUUGACUUGUCCUCUUGUCUUUCAGCGCUUGGACUUCAUCAUCUAGCCUUAUGUACUUCUGGGCUUUGUCCAUUAGCUAUUGACAAACAAUGACUGAAUUUUUUAUUAGAGAAUCUAUAAACUUGAUGUUGUGUGUUCUCCUUUUUUUAAUGCUUUACAUGCUAUCUCAUGAUUUAAUUCUUCCACUUAUAUUGCUUCAGCAUUGAAACGUGAGAUAAAGCUCCUUAAAGUCUCGCCCUCUCCUUGAUGGUUCUUCUGCAAGUCAAAAGAGAGUUUUUAGGAGGUAUGCAAGUAAUAAACUUAGAUUUAAACAACAUAACAAAUUGUGUAAAGCUUUAAAUUGAACCUGACUUUAGAUGUUGGUACCAUUUCUGAGUUAAACUUAUGUGUGUGGACAGAAACACUCGACAAUACAAAAUCAUUGACAUCUUGAAGCUGCAUGGUUGUUCUAAAGAUUGCCAGGUGACUUCUAGGAUCUGCUAUUCCGUCCUAUGUAUCCAAACUUGGGAGUUUAAACUUGCUAGGAAAAGUCUCUGCUAGGAUCUCUUCUGCAAGAGCAAGGCAUCAUCCAAGCCAUAGUCAUCUUUCUGCUCCUUUUGAUACCUUUGCACAACUCGUAUCAGUUUCCAGUCGACGUCUUUCAAGAUUUUGUUCAAUGACUCCUCUUCCUUCAGCUUGGCAUUCCCUUUGGUCUGUGUCUGGAUCGUUUCUAUUCGAGUCCUUGGGGUAUCAAUGGAGGCCUUCUAUCUUAUCUUGGGAGCCACUCCGAUGCUCAAGUCAGUAAACUGAAGAAAAAGACGAGUGUAAUGAAUUGCUUAGAACUCAAGAGGAGUUGUGUCAGAAUCCGUACCUUGAUCUCUGUGUUCAGCAGCCUUUAUACUAUAAGAAGGUAGAAUCAGUUAUCAAAUCUCCUAGAAAUCUGACUGACAUUGGCUAAUGGAUAUGGGAUCCCGCGAUUAUAGGUGUAAUGAAAAUAUGUUAGAUUGUGUUCUCUAACGAUAACUUUCUGUGAAGCCUUACCCUGCUGAAGAGAGGACAAAUUUCAGUGAAAAACCGAGAACUAUAGCAUUCAGAUUUUCUUUUUCACAGAUAAGACUGUGUAUUAUCUAAUCAGACUCUUGUUACGCAACCCUAUUUUAUAAUAACAGCUUAUAACUUACUUUUAGCGUUAAAUCAAUAAUCAAUUUAUUAUUAUUGAAAAUAAUAAAGUAUAAAAAUUUAAUUUAUUUUAUUAAUAUAUUAUUUUAACUAAUUAAUUGAUAAUAUGAUAAAAUAUAUCACCAUAAUUAAUAAAAAUAAUAGGCCAAAUAUAUAUUUAUAUUUAGCCUAUUAAACUCUUCAAUAAAAUUAUAAUCUAUUAAAUAUUUAAAUUUAUAAAAAUUAUAACAAUUAAAUAUAAAUAAUCAUAUUAUCAAAUAUUUAUAAAAAAGAGUUAGAUUAUUGCUAGCUGUAUUUAAUUUUUAAUAUAAUUUAAAAUAUUUUUUUUAUUUAUUAGCAAUAAUAAAAAUAUAUUACAUACAAUAAUCUCGAUUAUAUAUCAUAGUUGCUUGUAAUUUUAUUAAAACACUAAAUGCAAUCAAGGCAACUAAAGCAGUACAACUAGCAAACUACAAUCAAGGCAAUAGAACUAGCCAACUUUUUACUAGAUUUCUGCUUGGGGUUUAGCCAUUCUCUGUGAGACACGGCCUUACGUAUAUUUCUUUGAAUCCAAUAGAAAAAAGAAAAUUUAAACUAUAAUUCUAAAUCGGUUAAGAAGGUAAAGUUUGUCAUAUAGUAGGUUAAAAAUAUAAAAUAACAUAUUUUAGUUUAAAGUUUACAUUUCAACUAAAGAGUAUGAGUUACAUACUUUAGUGUAUUUGACUUUAUUUAAUUUUUUAAUAAAAUUUAAAAAAAAUUAUAAUUUAUAUUUUUACUUUUAAUAUAUAUUUCAGUGGCAAAUUUAACUUUUUAUCAAUUAUAAUCCAUAGCUCUAACACUAGUCUUAAAAUCUCAUACAUAACCUUAACACCUCACACCUACCUCUAACACCUCACACUUAACCGAAAAUACUAACUCCUAAUCCUAACGUCAAACCAAUAAUAUUUAAACCCUAACCUCUAAAACCAAACUUCUAAGCCCUAAAACUAAACUUUGAACUCUUAAUUCUUACCUAAAACCUAAUCUUAAAUCUAAACAUUAACAUCUAACUCUAAAAACCUAAACCCAAUCACUACCUGUAACUCCAAACUGUAACUUCAAACUUUUAAUGUCUAAUCUUGUAAUCUUUACUAUAAAACUAUCAUAAUUUUUGAAGAAAAUUAAUCUCAUAUCAAAAGUAUAUUGAAAUUGGAUAUCGAAUAUAAUAGUUGAUUGAAAAUUAUUAAAUAAUUUAAAUUAAUUAUUUUGAAUUAAGUAAAAAAUAAUCAAAAAAACUAUUUGAGUCAGUUUGAACUGAAUUGUUACACUUAACUCCAAACUCCUAACUAUUAAUCCCCAAUCUCUAAUACAUACAACUUAAUCCUAAAUUUAAAUCUUAAUAUCUAAUCCCUAAACCUAUUUCAACUCCCUAACUCUAAAUCCAAAACCCAAAAUCCCUAACCUGAAUGCUAAUACCAAUGUCUAACCACUAACCUCUAACUCCUGAUAGCUAACCAAUUACCCCUAAAUCCUAACUUUCAAUACAUAAUACCUAAUUCCUAUUCCUAAUCCCUAACUCCAAACAUUAAUCCAAAACCCUAACAAAAAUGAUUAACAUUUGACUCUUCAUGCAUACAACUGGUUCUUAUCCUUAACUCUUAAUCCCUAAUCCAAACCUUUAAACCUAAUAUUAAAUUUAAACUUUAACAUCUAAGCCCUAAAACAAACCCUAGCCCUUAGCACUAACCUCUAAACCAAACAAAAAGUCAUUAACCCAGAACUCCUAACCCUUUAAACUAAACUCCAAACCAUUAUCCCUUAACCUUAAAACCGUAUAAUCCAUAAACCUACCAAAUCCUUAACUCUAACACCCAACUCGUGACCUCUAACUAUUGGCCCUUAAUCCUUAAGGCCGUAACAACUAACCUCUAAUCCUUAUUUGCUAAUCUCUAACAUAUGUUUUAAGGGUUAAGGGCUAUAUGGUUUUAGGAUUAGGGGAUAGUGAUAUGGAGUUUGGUUUUAGGGGUGAGGGAUUAGUUAUUAGUGCCAAAAGGUUAAUGAUUAAAGAUUAUGGUUUAGGAGUUAGGGGUUCGUUAGAGAUAGGGGUUAGGGGUUAGAAUUUACAGGUUAAGUUUCAUGGUCAAGGGUUGGGUUUAAUGGUUAAGGAUUAGUUGUUAGGGUUUGUGGUUAUGGGUUAGAGGUUAGCCGUUGGGAAUUAGCGGUUUUGAAUUUGAGUUUAUAUGGUUUUAGGGUUUUGAAUUAAUAGUUUGGUGUUUGGUUUUACGAGUUAAGGGUUAGGUAUUGAGUGUUAAGAGUUAAUGGCUAAGGUUAGAAGUUAGAGAUAACAAUUAAAGUUUUUUGCCAAAAUCACAAGACGGAUACGUUAUCAAAAUUAUCUAAGGUAUUUGUGUCAAAGUUGGGAGGCAAGUAUCUAGUAGAUCGAUGAUCAGAUUUUAGUCUCGUUAAUUAAAAUUUUAAAUUAUUUUUAUGUCAAAGUUAUAAGACGUGUAACUGCCAGAUUCCUGACCGGCAGUCUCAUUAACAAAAUUAUCUAAGGCAUUUUGUGCCAAAGUCACAAAGGCAGGUAUCCGUCUGGCCAAUAACUAGGUGUUAGUCCCAUUAAUUAAAUUUCUAAAGUAUUUUUAUGCCAAAGUCACAAGACGAGGAACAACUAGAUUUUUGAUUGUGUGUUAGUCUCAUUAACAAAAUUAUCUAAGGCAUUUUGUGCCAAAACCACAAGAUAGGUAUCUGCAGGCUCCUGACUGGGUAUUUGUCCCGUUAACAAAAUUAUUCAAGACAUUUUAUAUUGAUGCCAUAAGACGGGUAACCGCUAGACACUUGAUCGGGCGUUAGUCCCAUUAAUAAAAUUAUUCAAGGUAUUUUAUGUCGGCAAAGCGGGUAACCGCCAAGUGAGUCACAAGGUGGAUAACCGCCAAAUACUUGACCGGGCCCUAGUCUCAUUAAUAAAAUUAUCUAAGACAUUUUAUAUUAACGCCAUAAGGCGGAUAACUGCUAGGCGAGCCAUAAGGCGAGUAACCGUCAAGUGAGCCACAAGAUGUUAGUUCUUGUAAUACCCGGCUAGAGUCCGGCAUCGGAAUUCUGCUUUCCGGUGGGAUCCGGGAUGUCGAAAGUCUCUCGAAGGGUUAGAUUUAUGUUUUUCUCAAAUGUUUUGAUAUGUUCAUCACGUUUUAUGCAUAAAGAAAUGAGUUUUUGAGUGAAAUGAACCAAUGCAGAAAAGUCAGGUUCGACCGCCGAAGUUGAGGUUCGGCCGCCGAACAUGCAUGGCUUUCGGUUUCACGUGUGGCCGCCGAAGGUGGUUUGGCCAGCUACCUAUAAAUGGCCCUCAGUCGGUUGAAGCGGUAAGAGCACCGUUUCUUUCACGUGCUGAGGUGAAACUCUGUCCUUUGUGAGUCUUUCUUCAUGUUUUCCUUAAAUCAUGCAAAGAUUUGAUUAGUUUUCAUGAUUAUUUGAAGGUUUUAAGCUAAACACUCAAAGUUUUGAAGUUUGGCGAGUUUGAAGGCAAGUUGCUCUAAAACUCCACGUUAGGAUCCUUCAUCUACUUGUUUUCACGAGGUAAGUGAAGAUCCUGAGCUUGUUUUUAUGUUUUCUGAAGGUUUUAUGGGGUUUGAUGGAGAGAGUUGCAUGAAUAGGGUUAUUUGAGAGUUUUUGAUGAUUUUAUGUGUACAGCUUGUUUUUGUGUUGUUUGUGUUGUGUGAACAGGUAUGAGUUAACCCAUCUAGAGCAAGCUCUAGUUAGGGGUACAGAGUACAGAGUACAGAGUACAGAGUACAGAGUACAGAGUACAGAGUACAUAGUACAGAGUACAGAGUACAGAGUAAAGAGUACAGAGUACAAAGUACAGAGAUAGUGCAUGCACAGGUUAAGCCUUGGUUCAGAAAAGAGUUUUUAUUUUCACAGAAAAUGUAUGAUCAUGUAUGAGAUUUACAGGUUCACAGAGAGGAUAGCAGGCUUGCUACGGGUUCUGGCGGCCUUAAGCCGACCUGAAUCCUAGCGCCGGUGACGGUCCAUUUUGGGGUCGUUACAGUUCUGUUGACAAAUUUUCUAAGGGCAUUUUAUAUCGAGGCCACGAGGCAGGUAAUCGCCAAGUAUUCGACUGGUUGUUAGUCCCGUUAAUAAUAUUAUUUAAGGGAGGCAAGUAACUGCCAAAUAUUCGAUCAGGUGUUAGUCCAAUUAAUAUAAUUAUCCAAGUUAUUUAAAUUUUAUUUAUCAAAUUGGCAAAUUGAUGUGCAAAAUAAUUGGAGAAGAGUUCUAGUUGUUUUAGAUUGAGUACUGAUCCAAAAUACUUGGUAAAAAUAGAGAUGUGGGUAUGUAGAGCCAAAUCAUGCAUGCCACAUUCCAAAAUUGUAAAGACAACUGUAGCAUUUAAAUCUAAAGAAUCGAAAAACCAGUGAAGGACUCCAUAGAAUAGGACCACAUGUUAAAGGUCUAAUAAGCUGACACAUGGUCGUAGAAGUCUCACCCAUAAAAAGGAAGACACUGUAGCACUCGGGUACUCUAUGAAAACUCGCCCUCUCAAGCGUUCAUGAAAAGUUACCAUUAACAGGAUAUAAUGUUUAUGAAAAGUUACCAUUAACAGAAUAUAAUAUAACAAAUUUACGUCUAUAAACGCAGAAUUCAAUCAGAUUUCUAAGAGAUUCGAUAACUAGUUUCAUCUCAUUACAGUAUAAAAGUAAAUGUGCUUAGAAAUCAAAAUACACAAUCAAGAUAUACACUCUUACGCCUAUUAUCUAUCUUAUACAUCUAUUCUCCCUUAUAAAUUGACCAAUCACAACUCAACUCUAUUUAUCUUAUACAUCUAUUCUCUUUUGCAAAUUGACCAAUCACAAUUGACCAUUGACCAAUCACAACUUAACUUUAUUUAUUUUAUAUAUAUGUUCUCUUUUACAAAUUCCACAACUCAACUCUAUUUUUUAUUUUAAUUUUUCUCUUUUAUUUCAUUUAAAUAUAUAAAACUAAACAAAACUAGCAAUAUUAAAUAUUAUAUAGUUUUGCCAGCCAAUUUGGCAUUGAACAACUUAAAUAUAUACUUAUUAAUCUCAUUCGAAUUUUGCAUUGAUCAACCUAAGAAAUUGUUAAUUUAAUUUAUUUUAAAAUCAAUCAAUUAAAAGUUCCAAAUUUUAUAAAGUUAAAUUCUUUAAUUAAUAGGAGAAACUAAAUAAAAUGAAUAUGUAUUUCAAUUUUUAAUUUCAGUUUGGCCCAAUUUAAAAUUGACCGUACCAAUUGCAUGUCUAAUGAUAGAAUCUACCUCGAGCAAAUUGCAGCAGCAACGAAUAUACUGCUUAUUUCUUCCCACUUUAAAUAACAAGGAAUUCUACAAAAAGAUGAGUCAAGUAUUUGCGGGGAAAAAGAAAAAAAAAAGAAAAAAAGAGAAAAAGGGGGUAACAAAUCUACCUUUCUCCAUCAUUCCUUUCUAAGAAAAACAUUCAGCCUAAUUAGAACAAUUAUAGUACACUCGCCACCAAGGAUGGCAUUAAACAGAUACAAGAGAAUAAAAUCAAAGAAUCACCAAAUUAAGCCACUGACUAGCACACAUCGGUAAUCCUAUACUCUUCAGGGAAUAGUUAGCUGCUGAUGAUGUAGGCAGCGGUGGCCAACGAAUUUCACUUGCUUCUUUGUAGGGAAAUUAGCCGUGUAGACAUUAAUGAAAAAAUUGUUCCCUAACAAGCGUGAUCAUAAACCAUUAUGCUGUACUAUUGUAAGUCUAUCCCUUCUGAACACCUAAGCCUGCCACUUUUCCUGCAGUGCUUAAUUUCAAGCAGUGCUGAUGGAGCAGCAGAGAAACAUAUUGUCUACCCUCCUCUUUAUCUGGAAGCCUUACCUCCAAAACAACCAUAUUAAUAUGUACAAAAUGGUUACCCAGAGUUGCCAGCAACCUCUGCAGCUCUCUGUCUCAUCAUCUCCAUCACAGCAGCCCUUCGCCGUGAAUCAGACUGCUGCUGCAGCCUUCUCAAAUGUUCUUUUAGAUCUCUGGAUGAACACGAACGUUCGUCAAUAGUUUAUAAACACAAUUCCCAAAAACAAGGGGGUCAGGGUGUGGUCUAAAACAUUUGUUGAUUUAAUAUGUGAGAAUGAAUCAUGAACCUGCAACGUGGUACGUGGCAUUCUGAUUCUUUGCAUGCCCGAGCAUGAAGUUGCAGGAGAUACCACAUUUUCUUGCACAGAACACAACCUCCAGAAGCACGUGUCUUGCAUUGAAUCCCAUGUCGGAAAAGUCCCUUCACCUUACGACAAUUUGGAUAUUGGCAAUGUGGAGAACGGCACUGUGAUGCAUGCACCAGAAGAUCAAGCAUUUUCCUAAGCUGCAAUUUGAUUAGGCCACAUGUAAGAGGAUAAUUUUUGGAAAAAUAUGACUAGUCAUAUAAAAUGUUUUAGCAGUUCAAUUUCAAUGUGCUGAACCCAUUAAAUGGAUAGAAGAAAUAUUGUACAAAUUAUUGACAUUCAAAUGAAGUAUUUCAGACACUUGGACAAUUACUUGUUCUUACACAUUAGUGGAAUAAUCAGUUCCAUAAUAUCUUUCCAUAAAAAACUUGCCUAUACAAGGUUGAAUGCUGUAAGCCAAAGAGAAAAUACCACAUCAUGAAUUUGAAUUUUUAAAUUUCAAUCUAAAGAUUGAGAUAAAAAUUGCCUAUUUCCUGAUAUGGUAUUGAGAUAAAAAUUGCCUUUUUCAUGUUAUGGUAUUUUCUUAGGGCGAAUACGUGAAUUUACACACCUAUAACAACAUGGUACCAAAACUUUAAAUUAUAAGAUAAAUCCCCUCCAACUUUAGUUUAGGGGAAACAAAGUCCCCCAUGACUUAUGAUCACAAGUUUACAAUUUUCCUGCUGAAUCGCUGAUGGCGACAUGAAAUUAAAUAAAAAUAAAAGGGUAAAUUAUAUUUUAGUCCCUAAGUUUUAGCAUAAUUAAUGAAUUGAUCUUAUAUUUUUAAAACCAAACACUUAAAUCCCUCUAUAUUUAGUCCAUCUAAAACCAUACACCUUCUAUCCAUUAUGUGGUCAAACUUUUGAAAAAUACAAUUUUCUUCCUAAAAUACCUGUUGUAAAAGUCUACAACCUACAUAAGGCUACUUGGUACUACUUAAAAACGAUUGAAGUUAUAAACCUUUUCUAAAAAUUGAAUGAAAAAACCAUUUCUGACAGUUUUGAAGUUAUUAGGUACUGAAGUAUUUUAAUAAAUGGAAAUUGAACGACAACGGGUUAAAAAUUGAAGGAUUUAAGUUUUUUUCAAUAAAUGGAAAGACUAGAAUUUGGAUGAAUUUAAGUGUUCUGUUUUAAAAAUACAGUGACUAAUUCAUUAAUUACUGUAAUCCACCCAAAUAAAAAUGACCUAAAUACCACCAACUCUAUCUUCCUCAACCUUAUCAAGAUUAAACUUAUGAUUUAAUGUUACAUUUGAGUUUUUGUAUGAUUUUAAGUAGAAUUUUAAAGAAAGUCAUAAGUUAAAUGGGGAUAAUCAUGAGGAUGGACAAAUGGUUAAGGUUUGGGUUUUGACUCUUGAAUUGGAAAUCAAGAUAAACACUAGUAAUUGAAUGGUUCACAAGAAAGGAUUAGGAUGGGAUGGAUGGAAAGAAGAAGAUGAUGACGAUAAUAAAAAUAAAGAAAUGUUGGAACUAUUUAGAAAAGAAAGAGUUGGAUUGGUUUGGAUGAGAAGACGAAGAAAUGGAUGAAGAUUUUUGGAAGAAAAUGUUGUAUUGAGAUGGAUGAGAAGAGAGAAAUAGUUGUGGUUUUGGAGGAAAGUGGAGUGAUGAACUUAGGUGAGAACGAUUAUCAUAGAACAUUUAAGACAUUUCAAAUUUCUUUUUUUUUUUUUGAAAAAAAAUUAAUGCAUCAGAUCAAUUUUAUAACCGAGAAACAAAUUGAUUAUAGGUCAUAAGAAAUUUUAUGUUACUUAAACUAUAAUUGGCAGGUUUUUGUUACAAAAUAAAUUUUAGGUAUCUUAUUGUUCAAACCUUAAGCUUAAAGUUCACGUCCAAUAGAUGUAUUUUACCAUAUUUUCUCAUCAGCAUUUCAUGGGGCAAGGAAGCAUAGAAAAUAUAUGGGAAAAUGCCGUAAUCACAUUGGACAGGAGUAAAAAUUACCUGUAGAACCCUUAGCUGCCUAGCUUCUUUAUUCUGGGCAUCACGAUCAGCCAUUGAUGGAUGAUUUGUCAACUUAUGAGGAUGAUCAAUACCCCCAUCCUUUUGGUAACAAGCAUUGCAUACAUCAUAAUCAGGGCACACUUCACAGCGCCAACCUUGACCCGUUUCAAUGUCAAGAUGACAUAUAUUGCAUGUUGUAACAAAAGCAGGAGCAGUUGGAUUAUGGAGAUGGUAAAGGACCAUCAUUGAAGAAUGCUUAGCCCGGCGUAGAGUAUCAUACUGAUAAUGAUUUCCUUGACAAAGACUAAGAAAUGCUUGUCUCGUGUCAAAGAAUUCACUCUCAAGAAUUUCAUCUUUAUCCUUUGUAUCAGCAGGCACAUCAGUGAUUUCAACCUGCAAAAUUUAACAUUGAUAAUUUUCAGUUAUAAAGGAGAAGGAGGGAAGGAAGGAACAAAAUAGAACAAGAUAAAAGUUUCGAAACAAUAUCUAUUACAGAAGCUUACACGAUAGAGUGCAUGUUUCUCCCUUUGGUUGAUAGGAUGCCGCUCCCUUUCUUCACGCUUCUGUUCAGCCUCGUAACAGCUUCAAGAAAAGCAGCACAUAUCAGAACCAUUAGAUGUGGCUACAAUAAAACAAAUCAAAAUUGCACACCUCAUAUUUUUUAAGACCAACUAUCUAACAUACAAGUACUGAGGAAGAAAUGAAAAGGCCAAAAAAAAAGGGUUAGAGAAAAAGGAUGAGAAUUAUGUAAUUGAAUUGCUAAAAAUAUUUAGGAACAUAGAAGCCAAGAAUAGUGCUCAUUCAAACCAAGGAUGUAGCAUUGAUUAAAAAAGUUAUAGGCAAUGAUUGACAAACCAUUAAUUGCCAUGGGAAACAGAAAAGGAUAAAGGAAAAGGAAAAGGAAAAGGAAAAGGAAAAGGUAAAGGUAAAGGUAAAGGUAAAGGUAAAGGUAAAGUGUUGUUGCCUUGUAUCAAUUGAUAACAUUUGUCAAUAAAAUAACAGAUUUAUGAUAGACAACGGAGAAUCGAGUUUAUUUUUUAAAAGUUUUAUCUAAGAGAACAACAAUGGUUGCAUAAAGUUAAACAACACAGCAGAGGGUGAUGUUGUUGCAUCAUUUUAUGGCUAUCAAGUAUCAGUCAAUGGGUUCACAAAUAUUUUCAUAGCAUAGAAAGUUGGACAACAUAGACAUAGUAUAUCCAUGAAAAAAAUGCAUGUAAAAUGAGACAGGGAAAUGGAUGUAUGAAAAUCAAAUAUUGAGUAUUAAUAAAUAUGAAAAUACAAGACGACAAAAGUUGAAGCCUGUUACAUAUCCAGCCUGCAAUGCCAUUUGAAACAGAGAAAUAGGGAGAGGAAAGGAGAGGAAUAGAUUGGAUUGAGAAAAGAAACAGAAAGGGGAGGAGGUUUAGAGAGGAAAUAGAGAAGAAGAGAUAUUUCUUAUAUUUGAUUCUUGAAUGAAUCUGCCUUGAUACAAGCUACCCUAUUUAUAUGUAUUCUUGUAAAGAAAAAACUAUUCCUGCCACUAUCUAACUAAUUCCCUACAAACUUCAUACUCUUCUUUUAUUACAAUUUCAGCCCUAAAGUCCCUUAUUCAUUUGCAACAUCCAUCAUUCUCCUUAUCAUAACAUUCCCCACUUCUUGAAAUCAUUCUUGAGAAGAGAGAAAAAAACGAUCAGCACACAUUACUAUUAGGAACUCUAAUGAAAUUCAAUGUUCAAAACUACUAUACUGAAACUGGACUUCCUUUCUUCAUAUUUGCCUUUCUUUGCCUUUUCCAUCUUUUUCAAACAUAUCUUCUUUCAGAAUUACAGAUGCAACUCCUGUCAAGAUUACUUUAUGCUUCUUCCUUCUUAAUAUCUCCCAUUUAUCCACCAUGGAGAUUAGGAAUUCACAAGAAUAGAACUCAACGUGAUGGUCUACAAAAUAUUGCCACUUACUAGCAACAUUCCCUGUUUCUUCAAUUGCUUUAGCUUUUUCUUCAUGAGAAACCUUCUCAUGAAUCUCAACAAUGGAAGCAUCCCAUUCCCUAUUAACUUGUACAAAUCCAAAUUUUUUUAAUGGCACCACUAACGCUUUUUCUAAAAUUUCAAUAUAGCCAAGAUUAAGAAUAAUACCAUGGGCUCUUGGAUUUGAAGGUUGCACUAUGUUGUUGAAGUCUUCCAUUUCCCCAUCAAUAACAAGAAACUUACUAGCCCCCAAUUUUUGUUCUAAGCCACCAAUUUUACCCUCUUGAAUUGGUAAGCCCGCUUCACCUCCAUUGCUCCAAAAAGUCCCAGUUUUAUGGACUUUGUGGUGUGCAACUAAAUCAAUAGUAACCCCAGAGCAAUCAUGUUCCUUGCCCUCAUCUGUAAAACCUUCACCAUGCACUUAGCUGGAGGCUUCAUCUUUUGAAACACCUUUAUCUUCAUCUUUCUUUUUUUCAAGAACAUUUCCAAGAGUUUCAGUAGCAAAACAUUCAACUUUGGGAAUGAGUAGUGCAAAAACUUCAGAUCCAACUAAUAUUGUCCUCAUUUCAGACUCUAGUUGGCAGUUGCCCAUCAUCACCAUCUUCAUCAUUCUCCUCCUGACAGACGUCACUUAUAUAGUUAUAUGGGACAUAUCAACAAAAAACUCCUGCUCAUCAACAGAAUUUGCCUCCCUCCUGCUUAAUCUCAGUGUUAACAUUCUCCUCUCCAUCACCAAUAAUGUCAACAUCUUCCUCCUCUCAAUCACCAACAAUGUCAACAUCUUCCUCUUCUCCAUCACCAACAAUAUCAUCAUCUUCCUCUUCUUUAUCACCAAUAAUAUCGAACUCUUCCUUUUCUCCAUCAUCAAACAACUGAGUUUCACCCUUAACACCAAAUUGCCUUAUUUCUCUUUUUUGAGCUGGCAAUCCCAUUUCGUAGCCAUUAUUCCAAGGAUUCUCAGAUUCUUGGUCUUGGAUCUGACAUUCAAUUCUGAUUCAGACCCCUGGAGUUCUGUUUUCACUUGAAUCGACUUCUCAAAAUUUUCCAUUUCCUUUUCCCAUCUUUCUAAAAUUUCAAGCAUACCUAGAAGAAUCUCGUCUAAUUCCAUGUUCUUCUGUUGGUACUUUCACAAGAAGCAAAGAAAUUGAAGGAGGAAACUAGAGGAUAAAGAGUCUCAAGAGCGAGAAAGAACAGAAGAAAGAAAAGAUUCACGAAGAUUAAGAAUAGAGAAGAAUUUCAAGAAAGAAAGCAGGAAGUAGAGGACGAAAGAGGGGUUUCCAAAAUUGAAGAAAUGAACCCUAACUUCAGGGUUCUUGGGAAAGAAGAAAUUAGGAGAGGAGGAAGGAAUUAUGGAUUACCAGAAGAAAGAAAGAAGAGCAGAAAUAGGGUUCUGCUAAGAAGAAGAAGAAACAGAGAAAUAACAGUAGGAAAGAGAUGGAAGAAAUUUCAGUUUAAGAAAGGAAAAAAAUUCUGGAAAACAAAGAAGGAAGGAAUAGAGGAAGAACGAGAAGAAUUCUCAAGGAAAGAAGAAGAAAGAUUCUGUCAAGAAGAAAGAAGAAAGAAAGGGAAAGAAAGAAAUUUGAGGAGGAAGAAAGAAGAACUAGAGGAAAGAAGGCAGAAUAGAAGAAGAAAGACAACAGGAGAAACCUAUAACUUGGAGGACUGCUACUGAUCUGCGCCUGAUUACAGCUCCCAGAAAUUUAUUUGGAAGCAAAGCCCAUACUCGACAAAGCUCUGAUACCAAUUGUUACAUAUCCAGCCUGCAAUGCCAUUUGAAACAGAGAAAUAGGGAGAGGAAAGGAGAGGAAUAGAUUGGAUUGAGAAAAGAAACAGAAAGGGGAGGAGGUUUAGAGAGAAAAUAGAGAAGAGAUAUUCUUAUAUUUGAUUAAUGAAUCUUCCUUGAUACAAGCUACCCUAUUUAUAUAUAUUCUUGUAAAGAAAUAACUAUUCCUGCCACUAUCUAACUAAUUCCCGACUAACUUCUAUACUCUUCUUUUAUUACAAUUUCAGCCCCAAAAUCCCUUAUUCAUUUGCAACAUCCAUCAUUCUCCUUAUCAUAACAAAGCCACAUGAAAAAUUGUCUAUAACAUCUCAUCUAGUAGCAUAAAAUAAAAUCUUAAGCAAAAGGAAAUGCAGGUAAAGAGCACAAUUCUUACUUAUCACAAAUCUGAAAGUUUUUGCAUUGGUGGCAAACCCAGCGGUUUCCCGAUACCAUCAAAACACAACAGUGGGUGCAGCAAUGCUGUAAAUGAACCAUGAUAAAGUCUUCCUUCAUUGGGCAUAUUGUCUCACCAAGCUGGAGAGAAAGGAAGCUUAAAAGAAUAAAUAUAUAUAUAAUCAUGUAAACUUCUAAAGGUAAUAGUGCAAUAGAGCUCCAAUGAUCUGAAAGCAAAAAAUUGCAUCAAACUAAUAUAUCUGUAACAAGAAAUUGAUCAGGAGGAAGUACUGUAAACUAAGAUACAGGAGGUAAAAAUUACUUUAUGCAUUAGUAGCAGAUCCUUCGAUGCGUUACCAGAAAGAUCCGACUGACCAGAUGCCUUAAGAGCCCUUUUUGUUAUGGUCUUUUUGGUUGUUCCCUUCUUGUUCUGUUUUCUGCCAUCUUCUUCUUGGUUAAGCUGAUAAAUUAAAUCCUCUGCAGCACCAGGCCAAUAGUCACCAUCAAAGUAUGGCAACCUUGCAGCUGUUACCUUUGCCUUGCAUUCCCCAGUAGAUACAAAGAAAUGAUCAUAUAAAUUAGUUAGUUCAACCACAAUAUUUUCCUUAGAGGCUUUUCUUAGCAUUGACAAAUACCUGAAAUAAAGGAAAAAAAAAGGCAUGUCACAGAGUUAGAUAAGAAAACAAACUAAGUUUCACAUGGAUCUCUACUUAAAGAUGUUAGGCUCACCACUCCCGGAGUUUAUCAGAUUUUGGUGUUUUCUGGAUUUCUGGAUGGCAAUAUAAUAUGUAGUCUUCACCCUUUAAAGGAGGGCAAGCCCAUAUAUAGCAGCUAGUAAAACCUCUCUUCUUGCAGUAUUCAAGGUAUCCAAUCUAAACACAUAAACAGUCAGAAAGGUCAAAAUAAUAAGCAAAGUAAUGAAUUAAACAUUGAUAAAGUCAUAUGAAAAGAACAAGACAAACAAAUACUUCCAACUAACCAAAAUUUCAUGGUAAACAAAUGUACGGAGAGCCUCCCCUGUCACUGCUUUAAUCUCGGGUCUAAAAUACUUCACAGAAUCCAGAUACGACAAAUAGACACGGCGUUGAUUUGGAAAUUGACAUUCUGAUCCAAAUUCUUGGACAUACAUGCCGAAUAGACAUACCUCCACACCUUCAAUCUUCUGAAACAACAAAAUCACCUGGAGAAAAACUUUUCAUUCAAUAAACAGAAUCCAGAAGUCGUUGAAAACCAUUAAGUAAUUUACUUAGGUGAACAACAGUACAAUGCUCUUCUGCACAGUCUCUCCAACUCUCUCUCUCUCUCACAGUUGAAAACACUUCAUUCAGGCCUACCACCUGAGCAGAUCUCAAAGGUAUUCAAUCCUUGACUCUGCUAAAAGAUAAUAAAAUAAAGUUGGUGAAUUCCUGCAUACCUUGGACUUGUAUGGGAAUUCAGUUGGGUAAUUUUCUUCUCGAAAAAUUUCAAGAAACCGCUGCUUCACUUCCAACUUUUUGUCAACUGAUGAAACAACUCGAAUUACAAGUGCUUCUGCUCCAGGAACCUUUAAAAUGUUGAUUUUUACAGAAAAUUAGAUACAGCAAUUAUAAUUCAUUGGCAGUUUAAAUAGCAUGCAUGUACAGUAGUUGUAACAUAGAAGAAAAAAAUUACGCUGAAAAUCACCAGUGGAACCCAUUGAGAUUUGGCAUAUACUUGCUUCCCUUCUUUUUGGGUGAAAAAGCUAUUCCUUUUGCAGAACAAAGACACCUAUUUACCAAAACUGCUAUUGUCUCUGGAUUUUUAGCUAAUAAAAAUAAGAAUGUUGAUUUUCAUAAAAUUCAGCAACCCAAGUUUUUAUUUAAAAAGAGGAGGAAAUGAAAUGCAUUUUACACCAAAUCAUAGACUUUUUCCCCAUAAUUUUCACUAAAAUAUGAUGCAUGCAAAUGGGUGGGGGGUGGGGGAACAGCCAUGUCCAUAAUAAGUGUGGCAAAUCCCAAAUAAAAACCAAAAUGCCCUCACUAGUAAGAUUCUGAAGAGAUAGAUGACACCUAUUAAAAAGAACGAACUGGUUUUCUGGCAAAUAUUUCUGAUUCAACACUUCAACAAUGACAUUGGCAAAGUAGGAAACAUGGUUUUAAAUCACGGACGCAGUCGCGAGUAACAGAAACAGGCCUGUAACAGCUGUAACAGCUGUAACAGUUGUAACGUAACGGUAACGACCUGACGCUAUGCAAAUUUUUCAAAAAAAUUUGUAAUGUUUAUAAAUGAAAUGAUAUUGAUUAGAUUUAAUUCAGAACAAUAUAUACAAAUGCAUAAUAAAUAUAAAUACAUAAAAUAUAGAUUAUUUAACUUAAGUUAAAUAUCAUAUAAUUUAAAAUAAGAAAAACCAACAUAAUUUUUAUAGAUCGAGUAAACUAAUACCUCAAACUACAAUUUUAACUUAAAACUACCACUUUAAUCCAUAAAAAAUGUUUAAAAAAAAGGGGAAAAACAACUAAAGACUAAAAUGGGUAAAAUUUAACCAACUUUCUAGAAGAAAUAAGUUUGGAAAUAGAGAAAAAUGAAAAUAGGGGGCAUAAGUGCAAGGAUAUAAAAGAAUUUUAAUUACUGGCAACGGCCGUUGCCAUUGCAUUACGACCAUUACGCAUUCAAAUCAGGAGGGCCAUUGUAUAACGGGGUAAUGGGUAACGGCCCCCCCAAAACCCAUUACACAACGACCAUUACAUUACGUAACGGCCGUUAUUUAAAACAUAGUAGGGAACUUGCUGAAUGUAAAAAAAUAUUGGUCAGUUGAUCACCUCAGAUGUCAGAACUUACGAAUUUACUAUUUCUAGUCCUAGCAGACAAGAUUUCCUAAUUCUAGAGCAACCAACUUAUGGUCUCAUCUUUGAGCCAGCCAUCUAUUAAAAUUUCACAAGCCCCACACUAUACGCAAGGUACCCAUAACAAAAUGACAAAUGUGAACAGUUCAUUUACUGAUCAUCCCUCAUACGCAAGUUGCAUGAGAGCAAAAUGCAACUAUUAUCCAAUAAAGAGAAUAACAUAGAGUUGUUACACGAUAAAUAAAUCACCUCAUCAUAACUUUUUACUUGAAUCCUCGCCCUCUCUUGUCUCUCCUGCUUCAAUCUCUUGAAUAACCGUUGCUCUAUGUGGUCGCUAAGUAUUGUUCGAGGUAGAUCUUUGGCCCCAAGGACUGCACUCUGAGGUAAAGGCUUACGCUCUCCUCUUUCAAUCUCUGCUAUGUAGCAAUUAGGGCAAGUAUAUUCAGCUUGCCCACCAUCAUUUCUUCUCCCAUUAAAUAAAGCACAAAUUUGAUGUUGCCAGGCUUCGCACUUGUCACAUUGAACCCACUGCAUGAGUACACAGGAAAUGAAUGCAAGUUAAUUUUUUGAAAGUAGCAUGCUAAAUAACAAAAAGCAAUGGAUGCAUGUACGGACCCAUUCUUCAGUCUCCUCAUCAUUUUUCUUCUUCUCAAGCCGUGCCUUUUGGAUGGCACUCCCAUCAACGACAAUAGUGUCUCCACGAGCCUCAUUAUAACAAGGAAUACAGAAAUAGUGCCGUGUAUCACCAGCUCCCAUAGUAUAAUACAUUGCAUUUCGUUUAAUGCGAGCACCACAGGGAGUGCAGUAUAUUGGUGGUGGUUCAAAAGUAAGCUUUUCAACUGCACAGAGUUGACAAGAGUUCUCACUCAUUGAAUGCUCCAUUGCUUGGUUCUUCUCUGCCUUUGCCUUACUCUGUACACAGAAAAAAGAAUGAUUAUUGACAAAAACAUAGCAACCUUUAUCUCAUUAAUAAUAAGAGAAAUUAUGUCAUGUGAAAAUUGAUGAUGUGUUGCUGGGUGCAAGAAUACUCCACAUGCGCCUGUGAGCAUCGGGGAUGGGGACCAUUCAAAAGAAGUCCCAAUUGAAAAGAGGUAAUCUUACCUGGCCAACCCAUUGCCUGAGGCCCAUAAUAUGCUCCCUGACUUGUUCAGGAGUGAACAGUUCAGUCAGUGAUACCCCCUUUAUUUUUGGCUUUCCAGACUUGGUUCCAGUUGCAUUAUCUGCAGGUUGUGCAGAAAUUUCUUGCUUGCCUUGAUCUGUUUCUUUCUCAACUUUGAUGCUCUCUUGCUUUGAUAAAUCAGUUGACUCAUCUUGUACAAUAGCUUCACCAUUAGGCUUUUGGCUGUUUCUGUCUACGAUAUCCUUUUUCUUCUCAUUAUUGCUAGGACUUCCUUGUAGAGAACUUAAUGGAAGUUCCAACUUUAUCUCCAUGUACUCGGACUUGACGGGCACAAAUGCGUCACCCUGUUUAUAAUCUUGCAGCUUGACAUCCUGAGAUAUGUGAGAAUCAGUGGCUACAGAAGCAGAUACUACAGCAGUUUCAUUCUCAGGUUUAAAAGAUUGGGGGGACUGCUCUACUUUCAUGCGCUUUAGGGAGGGAUGCAGUUCUUCUGAAGUUUCAACUGCUGGAUUUUUUGAAAUGAAUUUAGCUGAAUUAUCACUAGUAUUGUUGGAUUUGAUAGAAAAACAGGAAUCUGAGCUUGGACGAGUGCGUGCCCUCAUUUGUGCCUCUAAAUAAUUUUUGACAGGAAUACAAACAGGACACCCUGCAUCCCUACAGUGCUUGUUGUGUUGAAUCAAUAUCCUGGUAUGAUGGCAUCGAGGAUAUGGGCAUGGAGAUGAAUUGCAUCUGUCCAUAUGUCUAAGCAACUUUUGCACGGUAAUGCAAUUAACAUCUGAACAUUUCCCUUCAGGAGCUGUACAUCGGCGAGCAUGCCGCAAGAACAAGAGCCACUUCUGUUGAUUUCUGAACUGGCGGUCUCGGUUUGCA